Molecule: long non-coding RNA, 816 nt
Organism: Cynoglossus semilaevis (tongue sole)
Lineage: Eukaryota; Metazoa; Chordata; Actinopteri; Pleuronectiformes; Cynoglossidae
Exons: 6
Source: RefSeq, a predicted model, not a curated record
CGCUGAAGGAAGCGAAACUGGGAGAAGGAGAAGUCACUGGCCAGGACUGCCUGGAUCCCCUCCUGACCUGAGAUACCAACUCCGAUGUGAGCGCCUGAAGGAGUGAAGACGCCCGAUUGGCAGACGGUACUGACCUGGAGGAAGUCUCUUUCUGAACAUCUCCGCUGCGCUGGCCUCCUCUGACUAUGACCCAUCAGACUGUCUACACAGGGAAAGAAGAGAAGUCGUGAGGACAGGAGUGAACAAGUGCUGAGGGUGGAGACGUCGUCAGGGUCGUGUGGAUCAGGCAGAUGCAUAGAAAUGAAGAACGUAUACAUGAGAGUUCCUAAAACGGCUCCAAUAGGUGGUGCCACCAGGGGGACCCAGAACCAGUAGUUGUAACACCUGUUAAGCAGACACCAGGAGGAAAUUGGUUUUUGCCAAGACUGUUCUGGGGCAACAUCAAAUGUCUCUACUAUUCAGAAACUGAAAGACCAAUAGCAUCAGCCCGCAGUCAGCGUGAAGAGUCGUGGGCCAAGGUCACGUGCAGGAUUUAUUGCUCCUCCGCAGUUAGCUGACAUUGACAUGGAAAUUCCCAGGACAAUCACUGCCACUAUAGGAGGAAUCAGCCCCGGAGGAGCAGGAGUGUUCCUGGUUUCUCCCAAACACAGGAUGCACAACAUCAGCAUGCCGGUGCCCACUACCUGAGGACGUCAGGUACAUGGCCGACAUGACGCCCACAGAGAAGGCGAUGUUGACGGACAUAAACUGGCCUUUGGUCUCCCUGCUGGUUUUCACCUGAGCUGCAGCAGAGCAGCCGAAAAGCUGGGAUAAAAG